Equus caballus (horse) is the source of this 5460-nucleotide non-coding RNA. The record is from RefSeq and is a predicted model, not a curated record. NCBI's taxonomy places the organism in Eukaryota, Metazoa, Chordata, Mammalia, Perissodactyla, Equidae.
CUCCUUCCUUCCCCACGGACUCUGGUAGUCACCGUCCUACACAGUCAAGUGUACAGAGUAUUAGAGGUUUGCCAAGAACACAUCCUUGUGUCUGCCAAGGAGUGUCUGUUGGAGGAAGAAGGUCCCAGCAGAGAACGGUCAGAGGUGAAAUGGACUGCCUCGGGAGGCAGUAAGCUCCUUGUCUCUAAGCAAAGGAGGCCAGCUGAGAUGGAACGGAAAACAGCAUCCGCUGCUUGGCGAUGAACAUGAGCUCCUAGCCCUGCCUGUGGCAGCCCACCCCCCAGGAGAGAGGAUGUGGAAAUUGGCCUCCGCACCACCUGGUUCAACUCCAGCCACUGUUACUUACCAGCUGAGAUCUCAGGCAAGUUCCUUAACUCUUGCCGGGUCUCAGUUUUCUCACCUGUGAAGUGGGAAUAAUGACGGCUCAAAGAGAGGUGUGGUCUUCAGGAUUUAAUGAGACACCUGGAGAAAGCGCUCAGCAUGGUGUCCAGGUGGGCUCAGUGAGAUGACCAGUUUCAGUUAUUACUGUCCCCGCCUUGGCGCACACCACAGGGCCUCUGCGCAGUCCCUUGUGGUUUGUUUGGCGGUCUUCAGUGGACAAUUACAGCGCAUCUGAUGGGCCAGCCACCCCUGCCUCUUUGGGUUUUUCUGAUCUCCCCCAACAUGUUGCCAGUUCUGGAAUCUCACUCGGGCUCAUUCCUCCUCUAGAAAUGCUCCUUGUGAGAGCUGCCUGGCCAAGACCUCAUCCUUCUCGGGGUGCAGCUCAGAUCCGCCCUCCUUCGUUACAGCUAGCGGUCUACCCAGGAAGGAAUUCACCGCUCCCUCCCCUGCUCCCAUGGCUCAGGAUUUCAAGGAGCCUCUGUUAGAGAGAGGCAGCAUCCUGCAGUGCCUGACAGCUCAGCUCUGGGGGCCAGUUCAACGCAUGCCUUGAGCUGUGUGACGUUGGCUUUUCUGUGCCUCAGUUUCCUGUAUGUCCAAUGGAGAGAAUACAAAUAUACUUUCUUCAUAGGAUUGUUGUGAGAAGAAACGAGUUUCUACUUGUAAAGCACUGACAAUACCACUUGGUACCUACGAAGGGCUCACUAACGGUUGGCUAUUUCCAUAAAAUAAUCUUCAAAAACACAAGUUUUAACAGCUCUGUAGUCUUCUAUUGUGUGAAUAGAUCAGAAUUUAUUUAACCAACCCCUUGCGGCUGGGCGUUUAGGCUGCGUCCAAUCUCACUGUUAUAAAUAAUGCUGUAGUGAACAUCUUGUACAUAAAUCUCUCCGUUGAUCUCUGAUUGCUUCCUUAGAACUCCGCAAAUCUUGCUUGUGUUAGAACCAACUCCUGUCCCCCAGACUUUUCAAUGAUGCCCUUUGAAAUAAAAGCAAAGCCUAUUUUCCAUCAGAGAAGGAAACAUAUGGAACAUGUUAACCAAGAGGUGGCUCAGGAGGAAGGUAGAAAUCGGUUCAAGAUGGGUUUGGAUCCGUUUCAGGAUGUCUGACACAGAGUCAGUUAUAAAGCUCCCCUCGAGCCCCCUUCCCAGAGGAGAGGCUGAGUCUUGAUCCUCAGGGACCACUGAUUUCUCUCUUUGAGGCAAUUCCAAGGGACUUUGAUGUUCUUGGCAUUGGAGAAGCAACAAUGACAGAUGGAUUAAUGAAGCCACAGUAUGUGGACCCUACAGGACUCCUCCAGCCAGUAGGGGGCGAUAUCGCCUGUCUCUGUCCAGUUGGGACUUGGCGGAGUCCUUGCUCACAAGGACUUCCUUUGUCUUAAAACUUUGGCUUCCAUUUUAUGAAUUUCUCCUGUCUGUUGUUCUUCCCUCCCCCCUUUACACUUUUCAGGUACACUUUGGGUUGCCAUUUAUUCGUCCAUCAUUCAGAAGUCUAUUGCAUGCUUCCCCCCAGCCAGACAUCAAGAUAACUUCCAGACUUUCUAAGACCUAGAUACACUUGCUUUGGAAGCCCCACCUCAGACAUAUUAAACAUACUGAAAUUCACCCAUAUUCCAUAUUAAGUAUAUACUUUUCUGUUAAAAAAAAAAGGAUUAUCUUUAUAAUUUUGCUUUUGAAAUUAUUUGGCUACAAGUAAUUCAUUCAAUUUAGGGUUGGUUUUGAUUUCUCAGCAAUUAUUGAGGUACUCAGGAAUUCUUGCAAAGUGAGAACAUCUAACCUGCACAUUGCUCUCAAAUAUAAUGAAAUUUUUAUGAAUUUUUAUGAAUACUUAGUGAAACUAUUAAUGAGGUUGAUGUAAUAUUUGUUUUGUAGAUGUUUCAUUAAAAUUUUAUUAAUUUCUAUUGCAAAGUUUUUCCUUCGUGUUUUGGAUCCAAUAACUUUUGGGGCCUCAGACUUUUUCAGGGAUCUUCGACAAGUUCUCAGGUGCUCUAGUGCCUAGGGGCUAACAGCCAUCUCGGGCUUGGAGAUGGAGAGAUGAAAGGCUCCGCACAGUUUUCACGGAGUUCCCGGGCCAUCGAGGGAUGCACGGACAAACUACUGUCACCAAAGAGCCAGCAGUAUUGGCAUGUCCUGGGAGCUUGCCAGAAAUGCAGAGUUCCAGGCCCCCAGCCUUCCUGAAUACGAACCUCCCUUGAAAGGGGAUCCCCAGGGGGCUUCGUGAGCACAUCAAGCUCUGAGAAGCAGGCUCUAGUUCCAGCUGUGUCAGAGGUGUCCUUUUCUUCUGUGGAAUCCUCCCCAGUCUCCCCAGGAGAAUGGAUUGCCGCUAUGGCACACAGAUGACCAGCUUCGACCAGAGCCUGCAGCUGGACUCCUACUGUGUGCCAGACAUUUAAUCCUUUUAAGCCUCACAACAACUUCGUGCAACAGAAGGGAUGGCCCUUGUGUGAAGGAUGAGGGAACCGAGGCUUGGAGAAGUUACACGACGUGCCUAAGGCCCUUGUCUUUCGGAUGGCACCUUCACUUCAGACCGUCUGCCCCCAGGAGGCUUGACGAUCACUGAGAGCCACUGCUCAGAAAGGAAGAUCAUUCUUCAGGAGGUGGGAGACCUGGGAUCUAGAUGUCUCUCUACCAACCCACCUUUGACAAGCCCCUUCACCUUGCCGGGCCUCAGUUUCCCUGUUCUGUUUGGAGAACAACAGUGCCUGCCCCAUCCUGCCUCACAGAUUGCUACAAGGCUCAAUGCGGGGAAGGGCUUUGUGAAAUGCCAGCUCAGUCUGUUCCAGUUGAUUCUUACGUGAGUGAAUUCCGCAAUGACUGGGUACAGACUCUGCGCAAGUGUCACGCUAGGCUCUGGGGCCCAAAGAUGGCAGGACCUACUCUCUGCCCCCACAAGCUCACGGUCUAUUCAUGUUUCUAGAAGUGGACUUUGAUUCUGUACACUGUUCCUGCCCGUGAGGCAGAUAGUCUGCUGGCCGGUGGUGUUCUGGUGAUGGAGUUCUUUCCGUGCUAGCCUCCCUUCCUCCCCUGUGCUCUCCCCCUCCCCCACCACACUGCUUGCUCUGCAGGAAGGUGGAGCAGGAGGGCCCUCCACGCACCCUCUUAUCCGCGUGGCAGUUGAGGCCAGUGAAGCUCAGAGGACUGAAUGGCUCACCAGGACCCUGAGCAAGAUGACGGCUGCUGGGAGGCAGGUCUCCUGCCUGCUUUUUUUUCCCUUAACGUCUUACCAAGAUUUAAUGUACAUUUAUUCUUAACACAUGGGACAUACAGUAUAAAGAUUUCAUACUGAAUAAAUGAUAUUCAUUAAGCCAAAGAAGGAAAAAAAGGAGGAAUUUGCUUUGUUUGGGCCACAUUAUUUGAAAUACAAAUAUCCAGAUUUUAUCACUGAAGAAAUCUGAAUUGUGUUUCUUUAUCGGAGACUUCAACUGAACCGAGUUUUUCACACCUCAAUUAGAAAAAAGACACAACAACAGCAAAAAACCCCAGAAGAAAUAGACUAAGUUCUUUGGCUGCUGAGACAGUGAGGACUGUCCCACAUCGUGCCAAGUGAGGAGACAUCUGGCAUGAGAUUAAAUGGCUGUGUCUCACUUUGUGCAGGUCACCGACUUGCUAACUCAUGAUACUAUAAAAGGGUGGUUGGGAGGGGACCAAACUGCAGGGCCCCGGAGGGCGUGUGCAGCAAGGAUGUCAUAUGCACACACGGCAGAGUUCAUUUCUUUCCCACCAAUGAAUGGUGCAGCUGAGAGACCAGGGACCCCCAGAGCUGGAAAGGCCCAGAGUAGUCACUGUGUCAGUAAGGGCUGGGAGGAAUGGCUGGCCUGGCACUGGAAUUUCACCACCUGCUAGGGCUCAGGAUUAGUGAGGGAGGGCCUCUUGAGGAGGACCCUUCCAGCCUCUGUGUACCAAACUUGGAGGAUCCAGUGCCCGGAGAAUCCCUCUGUGUCAUCCGCGGCCCGUGCAGAUAAGAGCAGGACCAGUGUGCCUGGACUGGGCUUCCUGCCCUUCAUCAUGGAGAGAGACGGUCCUCGUCCCUGACCUUUCCCACGGACUGUCUCCUUGAGUUCUUCCACCGAGGUCACCAGCUGGAGACCUGAGGGUCUUAUGCGGGUUGCAGACAGGUUUCAUUUGAUUGGAAUUUUUUUCAGAAAUUGCAAUAGCUGCCAUCAUUGAAACACUGGAUAUUUUCACAUGAAAAAUCUGGCCCCACUGGGCUGGGUUACUGCAUGCCCACCAUCGCUGGAGCCAGUGAGUCCUUGCCACCCUUUAGCUAAAAGCAUGUUUUCCUUGGUCCCCACCUGGCCGGCCUCACUCAUUUUCAUUACCUGCUUGGCCCUGUGCCAUGUGCAUUUGUGACCCAUGCCCAAGUCUGACUUUAUUUUAUAGAUGAGGAAGCUGAAGACCUGGUUUAAAAGUCGUGGAAAUUGAAGCUUUGAGAGUAAAUUUCUCCCCCUUGAAAGCUGCUCCAUUGGGCCAACAGAAAACACUGAGCUGUUGGCCCUCACCACACCCCCACCAUGCAAUGUGCCCCCUCUCACCCCCCACAACCACUGCAUUUUCCAGAUUCAAGAUUUCAGGCAGGCUGGGGCAUAUUUCCCACCCAGGGUCUGGGGCGUAUUUUCUCCUUCAAGUGAUUACAAGCUUGACAUCUCUAGCAACCCGAGUCUUGAAGGCGGAGCUGCCUUUCCUGACAGCCCGGGGUGCUCAGACACCAGGUUUCCUCUGUUCCUCUUCCAUAUGCCCUGCUCUAGCCUUUGGUCUGGGUGCAGCUUGUCGACAUUAAAUAAGCGCUUCUGGCGGUUCGCCUGUAACAAUUCUUUAGAUCUUGGAAGCCAGGCUGUGGAGCUCUGCGUAUGUAUAGAUCUCAUUUUCACACAACAGGCUGCUUAGCAGAUGGAGACCCAGACCAGCCUCCAACGUUUAGCUGCAAGUUAAGACGUGGGAAAGUAGGUGGCUUUUAACCAGCCAGUACUGCUGCCAGCAUUCAACCUUAGAGAAUUUUCACAGGGAAAAGAAAAAAAAGCAAAAAACCAACAACAACAACACACACAAAACCAACAAAACCACAGUUUUCCUUGCUCCCCCAAACCAGA